This 517-nucleotide ribosomal RNA is filed under the name uncultured bacterium. Its description in RNAcentral is "bacterial SSU rRNA". It matches the Rfam family "Bacterial small subunit ribosomal RNA", at positions 501 to 1016 of the family's 1533-position model. The record is from RNAcentral.
CUACGUGCCAGCAGCCGCGGUAAUACGUAGGUCCCGAGCGUUGUCCGGAUUUAUUGGGCGUAAAGCGAGCGCAGGCGGUUAGAUAAGUCUGAAGUUAAAGGCUGUGGCUUAACCAUAGUAUGCUUUGGAAACUGUUUAACUUGAGUGCAGAAGGGGAGAGUGGAAUUCCAUGUGUAGCGGUGAAAUGCGUAGAUAUAUGGAGGAACACCGGUGGCGAAAGCGGCUCUCUGGUCUGUAACUGACGCUGAGGCUCGAAAGCGUGGGGAGCGAACAGGAUUAGAUACCCUGGUAGUCCACGCCGUAAACGAUGAGUGCUAGGUGUUGGAUCCUUUCCGGGAUUCAGUGCCGCAGCUAACGCAUUAAGCACUCCGCCUGGGGAGUACGACCGCAAGGUUGAAACUCAAAGGAAUUGACGGGGGCCCGCACAAGCGGUGGAGCAUGUGGUUUAAUUCGAAGCAACGCGAAGAACCUUACCAGGUCUUGACAUCCCGAUGCUAUUUCUAGAGAUAGAAAGUUA